GAUGAACGCUGGCGGCGUGCCUAAUACAUGCAAGUCGAGCGAACAGACGAGGAGCUUGCUCCUCUGACGUUAGCGGCGGACGGGUGAGUAACACGUGGAUAACCUACCUAUAAGACUGGGAUAACUUCGGGAAACCGGAGCUAAUACCGGAUAAUAUAUUGAACCGCAUGGUUCAAUAGUGAAAGACGGUUUUGCUGUCACUUAUAGAUGGAUCCGCGCCGCAUUAGCUAGUUGGUAAGGUAACGGCUUACCAAGGCGACGAUGCGUAGCCGACCUGAGAGGGUGAUCGGCCACACUGGAACUGAGACACGGUCCAGACUCCUACGGGAGGCAGCAGUAGGGAAUCUUCCGCAAUGGGCGAAAGCCUGACGGAGCAACGCCCCGUGAGUGAUGAAGGUCUUCGGAUCGUAAAACUCUGUUAUUAGGGAAGAACAAAUGUGUAAGUAACUAUGCACGUCUUGACGGUACCUAAUCAGAAAGCCACGGCUAACUACGUG
RNAcentral lists this ribosomal RNA (497 nucleotides) under uncultured bacterium. RNAcentral's name for it is "partial 16S ribosomal RNA". It matches the Rfam family "Bacterial small subunit ribosomal RNA", at positions 28 to 507 of the family's 1533-position model. The record is from RNAcentral.